This 441-nucleotide ribosomal RNA is filed under the name uncultured bacterium. RNAcentral describes it as "partial 16S ribosomal RNA". It matches the Rfam family "Bacterial small subunit ribosomal RNA", at positions 338 to 795 of the family's 1533-position model. The record is from RNAcentral.
CCUACGGGCGGCAGCAGUGGGGGAUAUUGCACAAUGGGGGGAACCCUGAUGCAGCGACGCCGCGUGGGUGAAGGAGCGUUUCGGCGCGUAAAGCCCUAUCGGCAGGGAAGAAGGAGGACGGUACCUUACUAAGAAGCCCCGGCUAACUACGUGCCAGCAGCCGCGGUAAUACGUAGGGGGCAAGCGUUAUACGGAUUUACUGGGUGUAAAGUGGGCGCCGAGGGCAGGGAAAGACAUGUGUGAAAGCCCGGGGCCCAACCCCGGGACUGCUCUUGGAACUGCGCGGCUGGAGUGCAGGAGGGGCAGGCGGAAUUCCUGGUGUAGCGGUGAAAUGCGUAGAUAUCAGGAGGAACACCGGUGGCGAAGGCGGCCUGCUGGACUGCGACUGACGUUGAGGCCCGAAAGCGUGGGGAGCAAACAGGAUUAGAUACCCUUGUAGUC